RNAcentral lists this long non-coding RNA (769 nucleotides) under Gadus morhua (Atlantic cod). Its description in RNAcentral is "lncRNA (ENSGMOG00000033503.1)". Lineage: Eukaryota; Metazoa; Chordata; Actinopteri; Gadiformes; Gadidae. The record is from RNAcentral.
CCGGGAAUGAGAGAAAAGAAGCUGUGAGAAGAAGCUGAAGAGACUAUGUUAUGUCGAGAAAACUUAGUUAACUUGAAGGACAGUUAUGCUAUUUACCGUUUGCAACCGGGCGUUUGUGUGAGUGUUUGUUUAUUUUGUUAAAAGUGUAAUCGAGCGUGCUUUAGAAGUGCGGCUUUUUGCUAAGGGGCUGACAACGAGGACGGGACUGUUUUGCUAGCGGUUAGCAUAACUGCGUGUGCGGGAGAGGCCAGGACAAGGACGGACUUUGCCACGUGCUGCUGCCGAGGAGUUGGUGUUGGACCGAGCAUCGAGACGGGUUCCUGAUCGUGUUGCUGCCUCUUGGAAGAGGUUGCUUUUCAAGGAGUUUACCGUGUCCUUUUGUCCUGAUUCGGGUAGCAAUUGUGAUCAACCAUCCAUCCCAAACCCAAGACCAAGGAGGUUGUUAUCGAUUUCCGGAGAGUCCCCACUCUUAAACCCCCACUGCACGUCGAUGGUGCUGCUCCCGAGAGACUCCGAAUGAAAAGCUGGUGAGUGAGAAGCCGGUGCACGUCUCAAAAUGCCCUUCUAAUGUACACUUUUCAUUUCUAGUUUCAUAUUUCACAUAUUGUAAAUAAUGUGGAAUAUAUUGCAUUCCGUUUUGAGAUACCUCACAACCUUAAAUACAAUGGAUAACAGUUUAAAUCUUUAUUACCAGCAAGCAAUUUGCACAAAUUCGUUGGAAAAUAAACCCUGCAACACGGCCUUUAAGUAGGCAAAAGCUGGGUAAUCA